This is a long non-coding RNA of Eriocheir sinensis (Chinese mitten crab), 3192 nucleotides long. RefSeq lists it as uncharacterized. The record is from RefSeq and is a predicted model, not a curated record. The transcript is spliced from 3 exons. Lineage: Eukaryota; Metazoa; Arthropoda; Malacostraca; Decapoda; Varunidae.
AGCUAAGGUCAUUGUUUUACACAUUUUCAAAGCUAAGGUCGUCGUUUUAACACAUUUUCAAAGCUAAGGUCAUCGUUUUACACAUUUUCAAAGCUAAGGUCAUCGUUUUACACAUUUUCAAAGCUAAGGUCAUCGUUUUACACAUUUUCAAAGCUAAGGUCAUCGUUAUUACACCAUUUCAAGGUUUAGCUCUUCUUUUGACCUGUAUUCCUUUGUUUCACUUCAUUGGUCCACCUCCUCCUCCUCCUCCUCCUCCUCCUCCUCCUCCUCCUCUCGGUCCUGUCUUCUGCUAACCCACACACAUCGCUGAUCACUGACGACACAUUAGCUUUGGUUUACUAGUACAGCAGCGUAUGUUACUAUUUGUUAAGUCAGCGUUGGGUUCCGUUAGUUCAAGGUGACGGGAUGUGGCUGGGAGGACGUGGCUGUGGUGGUGGCCUGCUCCGACAAUUAGAAAUCAUGUAAUUCUGGAUAUUUAAACUCCUCUAUACUGUUCCUAUUUCUAUGUACUUUGCUUCAUACUUUUCCCUCUAUGUCCCUUCCCUUUCUCUUCUCUCUCCUUUGUCUUACUCUUCCUUCUCUUUCUUCAUUUUCCUUCCCUUUUCCUCCUUUUCCUUCCUUUCCCUGUUGUUAUCUUGCUGUCCUUUUUCUUUCCCUUCUUAGUUUCUCUUCUCUUACCUUCUUUCUCCUUCUCUUUCUUCAUUUUCCUUCUCUUUUUCAUUAUUUUCCUCCUUCUCCUUCCUUUCUCUCACCUUAUCUUACUCUCCCCUUUCCUUCCCUAGUUCCUCUUCUGUUUUAUCUUCCUCCUCCUCUUUGUCUUUCUUCAUUUUCCUUCUCUUUUUCAUUAUUUUCCUCCUUCUCCUUCCUUUCUCUCUCCUUAUCUUACUCUCCCCUUUCCUUCCCUAGUUCCUCUUCUGUUUUAUCUUCCUCCUUUUCUUUGUCUUUCUUCAUUUUCCUUCUCUUUUCCUUUAUUUUCCUCCUUCUCCUUCCUUUCUCUCUCCUUAUCUUACUCUCCCCUUUCCUUCCUUAGUUCCUCUUCUGUUUUAUCUUCCUCCUCCUCCUUCUCUUUCUUCAUUUUCCUUCUCUUUUCCUUUAUUUUCCUCCUUCUCCUUCCUUUCUCUCUCCUUAUCUUACUCUCCCCUUUCCUUCCUUAGUUCCUCUUCUGUUUUAUCUUCCUCCUUUUCUUUGUCUUUCUUCAUUUUCCUUCUCUUUUUCUUUAUUUUCCUCCUCCUCCUUCCUUUCUCUCACCUUAUCUUACUCUCCCCUUUCCUUCCUUAGUUCCUCUUCUGUUUUAUCUUCCUCUUCCUCAUUGUCUUUCUUCAUUUUCCUUCUCUUUUUCUUUAUUUUCUUCCUCCUUUCUUUCCCUUUCCUUAUCUUACGCUCGCCUUUCUUUCCCUUCAAUAGUUUCUCUUUUCUUUCACCUUCCUCCCCCUCCUCCACCUCUUCCUCCUUCCCUUCCUUUAGUCUUUUCUCCCUUUCCCCACUUUUGCUUCUGUUCCCCCUCUCCUUCUCUUCCCUUCACAGUUCUUUAUCAUCAAGGUAUAUGCACACACUCCCUAUACAUAUCCAACUGUGUAUUCAUCCCUAUAUCCGUGUGUAUAUAUAUUUGUCUAUCAAUGCGUACCUAUCCUUUCUCUCUCUCUCGCUCUGUUCAUAAACCUGGUAGGAGAAAUAGAUAUGUACAGUCCGUUAAUCCUUUUUGAACCAUUUUAUUCUCAGAGUGUGUGUGUGUGUGUGUGUGUGUGUGUGUGUGUGUGUGUGUGUGUGCGUGCGAAUCGCUUGUGUUUUCCUUUAAUUUCUUACAUGGUGUUCCCUUCUGAUCAUCACUUAUAAAUACGCCUAAAGUAACAUUAUACACAGUUCUCUCGGAGGCUGGCGAGGGGUGGAUGUGUAGGUCGUCAUAUAGUUGUUAGGAGGUGUUACGGCAGCCUCUCACUGGGGGAAGAUUUAACCGAGUAUUCAUUCAUUGAUUUUCUCUGCGGAUAACUGGUUCGUAUAUACUAUUACUACGACUUCUGACACUUCUUUCAUUUAUAGAUUUAACCGAGUACUUGUUCAUUCAUUUUCUCUGUGGAUAACUGGUUCGUAUAUAUAAUUACUACGACUUCUGGCACUUCUUUCGUUUAUAGAUUUAACCGAGUACUUGUUCAUUCAUUUUCUCUACGGAUAACUGGUUCGUAUAUACUAUUACUACGAUUACUGCCACUACUUUCAUUUAUAGCCGUUUGGUGUUUGAUUCUCAUGUUAACUAUUUGUCUACUAAGUUUUUGUUAUCAUUAUUAUUAUUCCAGUUGGGUUGUAGGAUGGGGAGAAGAUUUAGAUAGCGAAGGAAAAUAGUACUAAUGUUGUUUUCAUGAUUUUUUUUAUUACUACUACUACUGCUGCUAUUAAUACUACCACAGCAACUACUAUCCUUACUUCCACUGUUCGUUUGUGAUAUCCGUUGAGUCGUCUGAGUCUGCGUCGUAAGUGCAAAAUUGAGAAAUCAGAAACAACAAUUCAUAAUUUUCACUCGUAGGCAAAAAAGUUACUAAGGCAAAUUGUACAACACUCACAUCCCGCAGAAUGACACAGGUUCGUCGAGCGACUCCCAGAAACGGUGUACAACAAGCCUUUUUUUUCUGCGGAACUAAUAUAAAACCUAAGCAAAAAUGUGAAAAAAAAAAAAAUCAUUGAAGUUCACGAGAUGCCAAAUAUGUCGGGAUCAAAUACACGUACAUCUUUUUAUCAUUAUUAUUAUUAUUAGGCGAUUGUAGCCAAAGUCCGCUCAUCUGAGUAGCGUCGGACCCACCUUGGCUGUCUAGAUUAUUGGGUUUUUAGGCUAUUAUUAUCAUUUUUAUGGGGCUAGCAGAUGGCAGCCCAAGUCUCGGAAUAUAUGAACAUCACCAGACUAUACUUCUCUGCUUCAAGAAUUAGGCUUUUUAUCAAGAAGUUAUGCCAUUGGGGUUUUCUAGAAUUUGAACCUUUUGGUAUUUUUUAAGAAUUAGGACCAAUGCAGUUUUUCAAGAGUUUUCCAUUGGGGGUUUUCAAGAAGUCAGACUGUUGGUGGUUUUCAAGAAUUCAGACCAUUGGAAUACUUAGACCACUUGCAUUCAGGUUAAGACUAUUACCACACAUCAUGUAUGCACCAUAGAUUAGCUCAGAGUAGAAGGGCGAGUAGGUUGAAAAUACGGACCCUAAUGUAUCGUGGUG